UCGAGAAUCUUUCGCAAUGGGCGCAAGCCUGACGAAGCGACGCCGUGUGAGCGAAGAAGGCCUUCGGGUUGUAAAGCUCUUUCGCUAGGGAACAAGAGAUAUAGGAUAAUACCCUAUAGAUUUGAUGGUACUUGGUAAAGAAGCACCGGCUAACUCCGUGCCAGCAGCUGCGGUAAUACGGAGGGUGCAAGCAUUGAUCGGAAUUACUGGGCGUAAAGGGCGCGUAGGCGGUUAUAAAAGUCGGAUGUGAAAUUCCGGGGCUCAACCCCGGAGCUGCAUUUGAAACUUUAUGGCUAGAGUUCAGUUAGGGUAAACGGAAUUCCACGUGUAGCGGUGAAAUGCGUAGAUAUGUGGAAGAACACCGGUGGUGAAGACGGUUUACUGGGCUGAAACUGACGCUGAGGCGCGAAAGCAUGGGGAGCAAACAGGAUUAGAUACCCCCGUAGUCC
This 449-nucleotide ribosomal RNA is filed under the name uncultured bacterium. RNAcentral's name for it is "bacterial SSU rRNA". It matches the Rfam family "Bacterial small subunit ribosomal RNA", at positions 355 to 796 of the family's 1533-position model. The record is from RNAcentral.